AUUGAACGCUGGCGGCAUGCUUUACACAUGCCAGUCGAACGGUAACAGGCCUUCGGGUGCUGACGAGUGGCGAACGGGUGAGUAAUGCAUCGGAACGUACCCAGAGGUGGGGGAUAACGCAGCGAAAGCUGUGCUAAUACCGCAUGUGAUCUGAGGAUGAAAGCGGGGGACCGAGCAGCAAUGUUUGGCCUCGCGCCUUUGGAGCGGCCGAUGUCGGGUUAGCUAGUUGGUGGGGUAAAGGCCUACCAAGGCGACGAUCCGUAGCUGGUCUGAGAGGACGACCAGCCACACUGGGACUGAGACACGGCCCAGACUCCUACGGGAGGCAGCAGUGGGGAAUUUUGGACAAUGGGCGCAAGCCUGAUCCAGCAAUGCCGCGUGCGGGAAGAAGGCCUUCGGGUUGUAAACCGCUUUUGGCAGGAACGAAACGGUGUCCGCUAAUACCGGGCGCUAAUGACGGUACCUGCAGAAUAAGCACCGGCUAACUACGUG
This 492-nucleotide ribosomal RNA is filed under the name uncultured bacterium. RNAcentral's name for it is "partial 16S ribosomal RNA". It matches the Rfam family "Bacterial small subunit ribosomal RNA", at positions 29 to 507 of the family's 1533-position model. The record is from RNAcentral.